Schizosaccharomyces pombe (fission yeast) is the source of this 256-nucleotide non-coding RNA. Lineage: Eukaryota; Fungi; Ascomycota; Schizosaccharomycetes; Schizosaccharomycetales; Schizosaccharomycetaceae. The record is from the annotation of a GenBank genome assembly.
UAGUUUGGGUGUCAAAAGAGUAACGAGCAUCAACUUCGGUGGAGACACGGCCAGGGACGAUAGCGAGGAUCUUGGUACCGAAUUCGAUCAAAAGACGAUCAAAAGCAAUCUCAAUUUGAGAGUUGAUGGAACCACCCUUUGCCUUGGCAUAGUCAACAGCAGCGUCGACGAGAGCAGCAUAUUGGGGCUUCUUAGAAGCGGCCAAGAUGAGAGAAGGGUUUGUGGUGGCAUCUUGGGGUUUGUAUUUGGCGAUCGA